UACGAGGGGGGCAAGCGUUGUUCGGAAUUAUUGGGCGUAAAGGGCGCGUAGGCGGUGCGGUAAGUCACCUGUGAAAUCUCUGGGCUCAACUCAGAGUCUGCAGGCGAAACUGCCGUGCUGGAGUAUGGGAGAGGUGCGUGGAAUUCCCGGUGUAGCGGUGAAAUGCGUAGAUAUCGGGAGGAAUACCUGUGGCGAAAGCGGCGCACUGGACCAUAACUGACGCUGAGGCGCGAAAGCUAGGGGAGCAAACAGG
This 253-nucleotide ribosomal RNA is filed under the name uncultured bacterium. RNAcentral describes it as "partial 16S ribosomal RNA". It matches the Rfam family "Bacterial small subunit ribosomal RNA", at positions 524 to 776 of the family's 1533-position model. The record is from RNAcentral.